RNAcentral lists this ribosomal RNA (253 nucleotides) under uncultured bacterium. Its description in RNAcentral is "partial 16S ribosomal RNA". It matches the Rfam family "Bacterial small subunit ribosomal RNA", at positions 524 to 776 of the family's 1533-position model. The record is from RNAcentral.
UACGUAGGGUGCGAGCGUUAAUCGGAAUUACUGGGCGUAAAGUGUGCGCAGGCGGCCGAGCAAGUCGAGUGUGAAAGCCCCGGGCUCAACCUGGGAAUGGCAUUGGAAACUGGCUGGCUAGAGUGUGGCAGAGGGGGGUGGAAUUCCGCGUGUAGCAGUGAAAUGCGUAGAGAUGCGGAGGAACACCGAUGGCGAAGGCAGCCCCCUGGGCUAGCACUGACGCUCAGGCACGAAAGCGUGGGGAGCAAACAGG